RNAcentral lists this transfer RNA (85 nucleotides) under Chloroflexota bacterium. RNAcentral describes it as "Chloroflexi bacterium (groundwater metagenome) tRNA-Tyr". It matches the Rfam family "tRNA". Rfam says of the family: Transfer RNA (tRNA) molecules are approximately 80 nucleotides in length. Lineage: Bacteria; Bacillati; Chloroflexota. The record is from RNAcentral.
GGGCAGGCGCCGGAGGCUGGUGAGCCGGGCCGGUCUGUAAAAUCGGUGCCGAAAGGCUGUGUGGGUCCGAAUCCCUCCCUGCCCA